Molecule: ribosomal RNA, 494 nt
Filed under: uncultured bacterium
Lineage: Bacteria
Description: partial 16S ribosomal RNA
Rfam family: Bacterial small subunit ribosomal RNA
Source: RNAcentral
GACGAACGCUGGCGGCGUGCUUAACACAUGCAAGUCGAACGGUGAAGCGCCUUCCUUUUUGGUGGGUGUGGAUGAGUGGCGAACGGGUGAGUAACACGUGAGUAACCUGCCCCCUUCUUCUGGAUAACCGCAUGAAAGUGUGGCUAAUACGGGAUAUUCUGUGUCUGUCGCAUGAUGGGUCUGGGAAAGAUAUUGUUUCGGUGGGGGAUGGGCUCGCGGCCUAUCAGCUUGUUGGUGGGGUGAUGGCCUACCAAGGCGGUGACGGGUAGCCGGCCUGAGAGGGUGGACGGUCACACUGGGACUGAGACACGGCCCAGACUCCUACGGGAGGCAGCAGUGGGGAAUAUGGCACAAUGGGCGCAAGCCUGAUGCAGCGACGCCGCGUGAGGGAUGGAGGCCUUCGGGUUGUGAACCUCUUUCGCCAGUGAAGCAGGCCUGCCUCGUUUGUGGGUGGGUUGACGGUAGCUGGAUAAGAAGCGCCGGCUAACUACGUG